UACGUAGGGUGCAAGCGUUGUCCGGAAUUAUUGGGCGUAAAGAGCUCGUAGGCGGUCUGUCGCGUCUGCUGUGAAAACUCGGGGCUUAACCCCGGGCCUGCAGUGGGUACGGGCAGACUAGAGUGCGGUAGGGGAGACUGGAAUUCCUGGUGUAGCGGUGAAAUGCGCAGAUAUCAGGAGGAACACCGGUGGCGAAGGCGGGUCUCUGGGCCGUAACUGACGCUGAGGAGCGAGAGCAUGGGGAGCAAAAGGG
Molecule: ribosomal RNA, 253 nt
Filed under: uncultured bacterium
Lineage: Bacteria
Description: partial 16S ribosomal RNA
Rfam family: Bacterial small subunit ribosomal RNA
Source: RNAcentral